Molecule: long non-coding RNA, 1822 nt
Organism: Orcinus orca (killer whale)
Lineage: Eukaryota; Metazoa; Chordata; Mammalia; Artiodactyla; Delphinidae
Exons: 2
Source: RefSeq, a predicted model, not a curated record
ACCCAUCACGUCCUCUAAGAGAGGAGGAAAAGGUGCAGGGUGGGAUGAGAGGCCAGAAGUGUUAGGUGAGUAGUCAGGGGUCCUAAGCCUGCAGUCCAUGGCUUCUGAGGGUCUGUGAAGUCCCUGAAAUGGAACAGGGUAUGUGUGUGUGUGUGUGUGUGUGUGUGUGUGUGUGUGUGUGUGAUAUUUUUCUAGAGAGUCUAUAGUAGGUGUUGUGGGUACUCUGACCAGAUCCCUUUAACCCACGACCUGGGGCUGCUAUAAGUAUUGGCUGUUAGUCACAGCUUCCCCCUCCUUUGACGAAUGUUCCUUGACCAAAAGGGAACCCCAAGCCAGAGGGGCUAUACCUGCCCCCACCAGGGGAAACUGGCUGCCUUGCGGGGGGGGGUCAAAGGCCACCCCCUGGCCUCAAGGUGGGAACAACUGUGUAGCGCAGCUCAUGCUCCAGGGCGUCUCCUGAGGUCAGGUUGAGCUCAUCUCCCACUGAGACCACCUUCUGGCUUAGCCCUUCUCCCCUGCCCUAGCCUGCGUCCCUCACUCUCUUUCUCCUUGGAGCACUCCCUCCAAAACUCACUUGUACAAGAACCCCUGACUCAGGCUCUGCUUCCAGGAACCUGACCCAGUUCAGGGCUCAUUAGCUCUCAUCAGAUUCUGACAGUGGCUUAUGAUGCCAAAGUGGGUUGUAUAGUGACCCCCAAAAGAUAAGUGUCCACAUCCUAAUCCCUGAAACCUGUGAGUGUCACCUCAUUUGGAAAAAAGGUCUCUGUAGAUUAAUUAAGUUAAGGAUUUUAAGAUGAGAUCAUCUGGGAUUAUCCUAAAUCCAAUGACAAGUGUCCUUAAGGAGACGCACAGAGGAGAGCCACUCUGACGCAGAGGAGAAGCCAUCUGCAGUUGGAGGCAGAGAUUGGAGUGAUGCGGUCACAAGUCAAGGACACCUGGAGCCACCAAAGGCUGGAAGAGGCAGGGGGAUCCUCCCCUAGAGAUUUUUUUUUUUUUAAAUUUACUAUUAUUAUUAUUUUUUGGCUGCAUUUGGUCUUUGUUGCUGCGCACAGGCUUUCUGUAGUUGCGGCGAGCGGGGGCUACUCUUUGUUGCGGUGCGCGGUCUUCUCAUUGCGGUGGUUUCUCUUGCUGCGGAGCACGGGCUCCGGGCCCAGCCGCUCCGCGGCAUGUGGGAUCUUCCCGGACCGGGGCACGAACCCGUGUCCCCUGCAUCGGCAGGUGGACUCUCAACCACCGCGCCACCAGGGAAGCCCUGGAACGUGUUUUAACUUGAAUUUGUACACUAAACAUUCGUACAGCAAUUGUUAUUUGCCAGGUCCGGUGAGGCGGCAAAGAUCAAAAAGACAUGGCGCCGCCCCCGGACACCCUGAUGACUCGAGGGAGACAGGCCGAUUCUAGCAGGAGGGUGAAGGGCUGUAGUCGCAGCCGGUGGUAAGCUCCGCUCAGCAGAGCUGGACUAAGAAGCGGGAGUCGCUUGGCAGAUGAAGGCAGGGGCGUGGGAGGCCCGUCAAGAGGACAGCACGAGGCCUGGCCUGACCCCCGCCCCCAUCAGAUCGAGAGCAGCUCGGGUGAGUGGUGAGGCUGCAGCAACAAAAAGCCCACCGGUCAAUCCUGAGCACGUGGUCCAACACCUCAUUAAACAGGACCAGAGGAACAUCGAGCUCUUCUUCAUAGAAGACUUUCAGCCUGGCUUUGACAUAAUCUCUUAACUCUUCUUGGUCUACUGGGAUGUAAUCCUGUAGGAAAAAAGGUAGAUCCAAUUACGAAGAAGAAAUCAUCUUAGUUCUUAUAGCAAAGUGGAUUCUAUUUCCAUAUACCAAGA